This 554-nucleotide ribosomal RNA is filed under the name uncultured fungus. RNAcentral's name for it is "eukaryotic LSU rRNA". The stretch from base 192 to 345 matches the Rfam family "5.8S ribosomal RNA". Lineage: Eukaryota; Fungi. The record is from RNAcentral.
UCCGUAGGUGAACCUGCGGAAGGAUCAUUACCGAGUUCAUGCCCUUACGGGUAGAUCUCCCACCCUUUGUAUACUAUACCUUUGUUGCUUUGGCGGGCCGCCUAGCUAUUGGCUUCGGCUGGUAAGUGCCCGCCAGAGGACCCAAAACCCUGAAUUAUUAGUGUCGUCUGAGUAAAAUAUUUAAUAUUUAAAACUUUCAACAACGGAUCUCUUGGCUCUGGCAUCGAUGAAGAACGCAGCGAAAUGCGAUAAGUAAUGUGAAUUGCAGAAUUCAGUGAAUCAUCGAAUCUUUGAACGCACAUUGCGCCCCUUGGUAUUCCGAGGGGCAUGCCUAUUCGAGCGUCAUUAUCACCCCUCAAGCCUAGCUUGGUGUUGAGGCCUGCUGUAAGGGCAGCCUCUAAAAUCAGUGGCAGUGCUGUCAGGCUCUAAGCGUAGUAAAAUUCAUCGCUAUAGACACCUGGUGGACACUCGCCAGAACCCCCCCAUUUUUUAAUGAUUGACCUCGGAUUAGGUAGGGAUACCCGCUGAACUUAAGCAUAUCAAUAAGCGGAGGA